RNAcentral lists this ribosomal RNA (468 nucleotides) under uncultured bacterium. RNAcentral's name for it is "bacterial SSU rRNA". It matches the Rfam family "Bacterial small subunit ribosomal RNA", at positions 330 to 795 of the family's 1533-position model. The record is from RNAcentral.
UCCAGACUCCUACGGGAGGCAGCAGUGAGGAAUAUUGGUCAAUGGGCGGAAGCCUGAACCAGCCAAGUCGCGUGAGGGACUAAGGCCCUGCGGGUCGUAAACCUCUUUUGCCGGGGAGCAGUGGUCCGGACGCGUCCGGACCGGGAGAGUACCCGGAGAAAAAGCAUCGGCUAACUCCGUGCCAGCAGCCGCGGUAAUACGGAGGAUGCGAGCGUUAUCCGGAUUUAUUGGGUUUAAAGGGUGCGUAGGCGGAGUGUCAAGUCCGCGGUAAAAUCGCGGGGCUCAACCUCGCUCCGCCGUUGAAACUGGCGUUCUUGAGUGGGCGAGAAGUAUGCGGAAUGCGUGGUGUAGCGGUGAAAUGCAUAGAUAUCACGCAGAACUCCGACUGCGAAGGCAGCGUACCGGCGCCCAACUGACGCUGAAGCACGAAGGCGUGGGUAUCGAACAGGAUUAGAUACCCCAGUAGCG